This 154-nucleotide unclassified non-coding RNA is filed under the name uncultured Sordariales. RNAcentral describes it as "sequence contains ITS1". Lineage: Eukaryota; Fungi; Ascomycota; Sordariomycetes; Sordariales. The record is from RNAcentral.
CCGAGUUCCAGUGGACUCCCAACCCUGUGUGAUCGAACCUCUGUUGCCUCGGCAGUAGCGGUUGAGCCUUCCCAACAUGGCGAGGGCUCCCAGCUGCCGGGCACCACAAAACUCUUGCAUAAUGGCAUCUCUGAGUGGAUUCUAUAAUGAGUCA